UAAAUCGUUCUAUCGUGUUUCGUUUUAACGGGAUAAGGAAAGUCCGGGCAGCAUAGAGUACCAUACCUUAUGAAAAUAGGGGUGUUUUGUUUUAAAGCAAAAUAACAGAAAGUGCCACAGAAAAUAUACCGUCAUGUCUUUGGCGUGAUAAGGGUGAAAAGGUGAGGUAAGAGCUCACCGCUCUAGAGGUAACAAUAGAGGCAUGGAAAACCUUAUGGGCUGAAAGGUCAAAUAAACCGAAUUUAAAGUUACUCGCUUUUUCGGAGGGUGGACUGCUUAGAUAAAUGAUAGAAUGCUGAUGUUUAUCAGCAACAGAACCUGGCUUAUAGAUUUAUAAA
Molecule: RNase P RNA, 338 nt
Filed under: Bacteroidota bacterium
Lineage: Bacteria; Pseudomonadati; Bacteroidota
Also listed under: 1 other name
Description: Bacteroidetes bacterium (bioreactor metagenome) RNase P RNA component class A
Rfam family: Bacterial RNase P class A
About the family: Ribonuclease P (RNase P) is a ubiquitous endoribonuclease, found in archaea, bacteria and eukarya as well as chloroplasts and mitochondria. Its best characterised activity is the generation of mature 5'-ends of tRNAs by cleaving the 5'-leader elements of precursor-tRNAs. Cellular RNase Ps are ribonucleoproteins.
Source: RNAcentral